Molecule: non-coding RNA, 290 nt
Organism: Xyrichtys novacula (pearly razorfish)
Lineage: Eukaryota; Metazoa; Chordata; Actinopteri; Labriformes; Labridae
Source: the annotation of a GenBank genome assembly
GUGAACCUGGCGUCAGGCUGCAAGGCAGGGUGAAUGAGGUAGGCCUCAGGCUGCAGGGCUAGAUGGAUGAGGUAGGCCUAAGGCUGCAGAGCAGGGUGGAUGAGGUAGGCCUCAGGCUUGCAGGGCAUGGUGGAUGAGGUAGGCCUCAGGCUGCAGGGCAGGGUGGAUGAGGUAGGCUUCAGGCUGCAGGGCAGGGUGGAUGAGGUAGGCCUCAGGCUGCAGAGCUGGGUGGAUGAGGUAGGCCUCAGGCUACUGAGCUUUUCUUGUUGUUGGUACUGCCUCAGAUCUUG